GAUGAACGCUAGCGAUAGGCCUAACACAUGCAAGUCGAGGGGCAUCACAUGAAGUAGCAAUACGGAUGGUGGCGACCGGCGCACGGGUGAGUAACACGUAUGCAACCUGCCUUCAACAAGGGGAUAACCCGUUGAAAGACGGACUAAUACCCUAUAACACAGGGGUCCCGCAUGGGGAUAUUUGUUAAAGGACAACCGGUUGAAGAUGGGCAUGCGUUCCAUUAGCUAGUUGGCGGGGUAAGGGCCCACCAAGGCAACGAUGGAUAGGGGAACUGAGAGGUUUAUCCCCCACACUGGUACUGAGACACGGACCAGACUCCUACGGGAGGCAGCAGUGAGGAAUAUUGGUCAAUGGACGCAAGUCUGAACCAGCCACGUCGCGUGAAGGAAGACGGCCCUACGGGUUGUAAACUUCUUUUGCAAGGGAAUAAAGUGGGCCACGUGUGGCCUUUUGCAAGUACCUUGCGAAUAAGGAUCGGCUAACUCCGUGCCAGCAGCCGCGGUAAAUCACACUA
Molecule: ribosomal RNA, 515 nt
Filed under: uncultured bacterium
Lineage: Bacteria
Description: bacterial SSU rRNA
Rfam family: Bacterial small subunit ribosomal RNA
Source: RNAcentral